Molecule: ribosomal RNA, 348 nt
Filed under: Triticum aestivum (bread wheat)
Lineage: Eukaryota; Viridiplantae; Streptophyta; Magnoliopsida; Poales; Poaceae
Description: partial small subunit ribosomal RNA
Source: RNAcentral
AUGCAAAUUCAAGAGCGUAAUAAGAUAAUUAUUUUUUCCUUCCAGAACAAAGGCCUGUUUGUGCCAGGGACUAACAUAUUUCAUAGUAGACAUGAUUUAUACCUUUUAGGACCAGUACAAUUUUCAUACAAUCAUGAAUCAUGGUUUUAUCUUUUGAAGUCGAUACAUUUUAAUUUAUUGUUUUAUUCCCCUGAAUGUUUACCUAAGCACAUAGCUGCUAUUCACUGUAUCUUUUGUCAGAUGGCUUCUAUCACCCUUGCUAAUCUAUGUUGCGGAAGACAAAAUCAAAUGCUAUGUGUCCGGGUGUCUUGGCUUGGUUUAGUUUUAUUAAUGUCUCACCAAGGGUGA